Molecule: ribosomal RNA, 464 nt
Filed under: uncultured bacterium
Lineage: Bacteria
Description: partial 16S ribosomal RNA
Rfam family: Bacterial small subunit ribosomal RNA
Source: RNAcentral
CCUACGGGAGGCUGCAGUAGGGAAUUUUCGUCAAUGGGCGCAAGCCUGAACGAGCAAUGCCGCGUGAACGAGGAAGGUCUUCGGAUCGUAAAGUUCUGUUGAAGGGGAAAAAGAGCGGAGAGAGGAAAUGAACUCCGAUUGAUAUUACCCUGCGAGGAAGUCAGGGCACACUACGUGCCAGCAGCCCCGGUAAUACGUAGGUGGAGAGCGUUAUCGGGAAUGCUUGGGCUGAAAGGGUGCGAAGGCGGCCUGCUAAGUCAGGAGUGAAAGGUACCGGCUCAACCGGUACAGGCUCUGGAAACUGGCGGGCGAGAGAGCAGGAGAGGGCGGUGGAACUCCAUGUGUAGCGGUAAAAUGCGUAGAUAUAUGGAAGAACACCAGUGGCGAAGGCGGCCGCCUGGCCUGUUACUGACGCUGAGGCACGAAAGCGUGGGGAGCAAAUAGGAUUAGAUACCCGGGUAGUC